GAUGAACGCUGGCGGCGUGCCUAAUACAUGCAAGUCGAGCGAACAGACGAGGAGCUUGCUCCUCUGACGUUAGCGGCGGACGGGUGAGUAACACGUGGAUAACCUACCUAUAAGACUGGGAUAACUUCGGGAAACCGGAGCUAAUACCGGAUAAUAUAUUGAACCGCAUGGUUCAAUAGUGAAAGACGGUUUUGCUGUCACUUAUAGAUGGAUCAGCGCCGCAUUAGCUAGUUGGUAAGGUAACGGCUUACCAAGGCAACGAUGCGUAGCCGACCUGAGAGGGUGAUCGGCCACACGGGAACUGAGACACGGUCCAGACUCCUACGGGGAGCAGCAGUAGGGAAUCUUACGCAAUGGGCGAAAGCCUGACGGAGCAACGCCGCGUGAGUGAUGAAGGUCUUCGGAUCGUAAAACUCUGUUAUUAGGGAAGAACAAAUGUGUAAGUAACUAUGCACGUCUUGACGGUACCUGAUCAGAAAGCCACGGCUAACUACGUG
RNAcentral lists this ribosomal RNA (497 nucleotides) under uncultured bacterium. Its description in RNAcentral is "partial 16S ribosomal RNA". It matches the Rfam family "Bacterial small subunit ribosomal RNA", at positions 28 to 507 of the family's 1533-position model. The record is from RNAcentral.